This 447-nucleotide ribosomal RNA is filed under the name uncultured bacterium. RNAcentral's name for it is "partial 16S ribosomal RNA". It matches the Rfam family "Bacterial small subunit ribosomal RNA", at positions 329 to 792 of the family's 1533-position model. The record is from RNAcentral.
GGCCAGACUCCUACGGGAGGCAGCAGUGGGGAAUAUUGCACAAUGGGGGAAACCCUGAUGCAGCGACGCCGCGUGGGUGAAGGAGCGUUUCGGCGCGUAAAGCCCUAUCGGCAGGGAAGAAGGAGGACGGUACCUGACUAAGAAGCCCCGGCUAACUACGUGCCAGCAGCCGCGGUAAUACGUAGGGGGCAAGCGUUAUCCGGAUUUACUGGGUGUAAAGGGAGCGUAGGCGGUUAGAUAAGUCUGAUGUGAAAGCCCACAGCUUAACUGUGGGAUUGCAUUGGAAACUAUAGAACUAGGGUGUCGGAGAGGUAAGUGGAAUUCCUAGUGUAGCGGUGAAAUGCGUAGAUAUUAGGAGGAACACCAGUGGCGAAGGCGGCUUACUGGACGAUGACUGACGCUGAGGCUCGAAAGCGUGGGGAGCAAACAGGAUUAGAUACCCUGGUA